Parelaphostrongylus tenuis is the source of this 74-nucleotide non-coding RNA. The record is from the annotation of a GenBank genome assembly. Lineage: Eukaryota; Metazoa; Nematoda; Chromadorea; Rhabditida; Metastrongylidae.
GCCUCGGUGGUGUAGUGGUAGUAGCACGUAUCUCCAGUCUUAAUGAAACGCGGGUACAAUUUCCGCCUGAAGCU